Molecule: ribosomal RNA, 484 nt
Filed under: Acanthodactylus erythrurus belli
Lineage: Eukaryota; Metazoa; Chordata; Lepidosauria; Squamata; Lacertidae
Description: partial 16S ribosomal RNA
Rfam family: Bacterial large subunit ribosomal RNA
Source: RNAcentral
CGCCUGCCUAGUGACCCGCUUUUAACGGCCGCGGUAUCCUAACCGUGCAAAGGUAGCAUAAUCACUUGUUCUCUAAAUAAGGACUGGAAUGAACGGCUAAAUGAAGACUAAGCUGUCUCUUGCAGACUACCUAUAAAACUGAUCCCCUAGUCAAAAAGCUAGGAUUUUAACACAAGACGAGAAGACCCUGUGGAGCUUAUAAAUCAACCUCAUAACAUGACCCCCUGGUUUUUAGUUGGGGCGACUUCGGAGUACAAAAAACCCUCCGACUUACUACCUAGAUAGACAUAUCAAACAUCUGUUCUGACCCAGUAGCUCAGUGCUAACUGAUUAACGAACCAAGUUACCCCAGGGAUAACAGCGCUAUCCUCUUUUAGAGUUCUUAUCGACAAGGGGGCUUACGACCUCGAUGUUGGAUCAGGACACCCCAAUAGUGCAGCCGCUAUUAAUGGUUCGUUUGUUCAACGAUUAAAGUCCUACGUGA